CCCAGGCGUCCGGGUGGCCACCAGCCCCCCCCCUCCCAAACCCGCUCACGCGACUACAUGUGUCUACACGCGACUACACGCGAUGCUGGGGAUCCCCCCCCCCGGGGGCCUCCCCGGCCAAGGGCCCAGGCGUCCGGGAGGGACCCAGGCAUCCGGGAAAGGGGCCCAGGUGUCCGGAGGGACCCAGGCGUCCGGGAGGGGCUCAGGCGUCCGGGAAGGGCCCAGGUGUCCGGGAAGGGCCCAGGCGUCCGGGAAGGACCCAGGCGUCCGGGAGGGGCCCAGGCAUCCGGGAAGGGCCCAGGCGUCCGGGAGGGGCCCAGGCGUCCGAGGGACCCAGGCGUCCGGGAAGGGCCCAGGUGUCCGGGAGGGGCCCAGGUGUCCGGGAAGGGGCCCAGGUGUCCGGGAAAGGGGCCCAGGUGUCCGGGAAGGGGCCCAGGCGUCCGGGAGGGGCCCAGGCGUCCGGCUCACCAGCGAACGAGAGGUGCCGCAGCCGGGCGUUGGCUCGAGCCUCCUGCACCUUCUCCACGACGAUGCGCCAGGCCCCUGCGCGCGCGGGCGUCACGCGUGUCAGCCCGGGUCACCCGCCGCGUCACCCCGCGUCACCCAUCGCAUGUCACCCAUCGCGUGUCACUCCAGGUCCCCCCGCGCCACCCAGCCCUUGUCACCCUCUGUCACCCAACCUGUGUCACCC
RNAcentral lists this long non-coding RNA (691 nucleotides) under Apteryx rowi (Okarito brown kiwi). Its description in RNAcentral is "lncRNA (ENSARWG00000014895.1)". Lineage: Eukaryota; Metazoa; Chordata; Aves; Apterygiformes; Apterygidae. The record is from RNAcentral.